AUAGUCUAGAGUGAGGGAGAGGCAGAUGGAAUUGGUGGUGUAGGGGUAAAAUCCGUAGAUAUCACCAAGAAUACCCAUUGCGAAGGCGAUCUGCUGGAACUCAACUGACGCUAAGGCGCGAAAGCGUGGGGAGCAAACAGGAUUAGAUACCCUGGUAGUCCACGCCCUAAACGAUGUACACUAGUUGUUGGGGUGCUAGUCAUCUCAGUAAUGCAGCUAACGCAUUAAGUGUACCGCCUGGGGAGUACGGUCGCAAGAUUAAAACUCAAAGGAAUAGACGGGGACCCGCACAAGCGGUGGAGCAUGUGGUUUAAUUCGAAGAUACGCGAAGAACCUUACCUGGGCUUGAUAUCCUAAGAACCUUUUAGAGAUAAGAGGGUGCUAGCUUGCUAGAACUUAGAGACAGGUGCUGCACGGCUGUCGUCAGCUCGUGUCGUGAGAUGUUGGGUUAAGUCCCGCAACGAGCGCAACCCACGUAUUUAGUUGCUAACGGUUCGGCCGAGCACUCUAAAUAGACUGCCUUCGUAAGGAGGAGGAAGGUGUGGACGACGUCAAGUCAUCAUGGCCCUUAUGCCCAGGGCGACACACGUGCUACAAUGGCAUAUACAAUGAGACGCAAUACCGCGAGGUGGAGCAAAUCUAUAAAAUAUGUCCCAGUUCGGAUUGUUCUCUGCAACUCGAGAGCAUGAAGCCGGAAUCGCUAGUAAUCGUAGAUCAGCCAUGCUACGGUGAAUACGUUCCCGGGUCUUGUACUCACCGCCCGUCACACCAUGGGAGUUGAUUUCACUCGAAGCCGGAAUACUAAACUAGUUACCGUCCACAGUGGAAUCAGCGACUGGGGUGAAGUCGUAACAAGGUAACCGUAGGAGAACCUGCGGUUGGAUCACCUCCUUUCUA
This 897-nucleotide ribosomal RNA is filed under the name Campylobacter jejuni. RNAcentral describes it as "bacterial SSU rRNA". It matches the Rfam family "Bacterial small subunit ribosomal RNA", at positions 636 to 1533 of the family's 1533-position model. Lineage: Bacteria; Pseudomonadati; Campylobacterota; Epsilonproteobacteria; Campylobacterales; Campylobacteraceae. The record is from RNAcentral.